This 103-nucleotide microRNA precursor is filed under the name Marmota monax (woodchuck). The record is from RNAcentral. Lineage: Eukaryota; Metazoa; Chordata; Mammalia; Rodentia; Sciuridae.
AGUACGAUAACUGGAUGAAAUGGUGGUUCCAUUCCAAGUUUUCUAAGGAGUGUCCAUACUGCUUUCCAGAGUGGUUGCACCAAUUUGCAGUUCCAAUAGCAAU